GGUCUCAUGGUCCAUGCUUCUACCCUCUUGCCUCACAUUACACUUUGCCCAACAACCAGCUUCCUUUGGAUUAACACCAUAAUGGGGCUGUCUACCCAGCUUUCCAUUUAGCUCUGUCCCUGGACACUGUCUCUCAGGGCCCAGGCUUGCUCUUGUUCAAGAGACAAGCCUGGACAGUGAUCACAUUAUUUACUGCACCAAAAGCUCCAUCAGUUCCCGUUGCUUGUUGAAUAAACAGAUUUUUUUUCAGCAUGCCAUCCAUGGCCUGCCAACUGUCUGAUCCCAUCCCCCAACUACCAGCCCCACCAAUACAUCCUUAUAAUCUUGACAUUUUUUUCUCAUUUUUUCAAGAACUGACUUGAACACUUCCUUGAAGACUUCCUCUUUCUGUUCUUCCAUGUAUUGCCUUCUACCUCUGUAGCUUUUUGUGCACCUGGUGGCCUCCCACACCUAUGAAGUAUACUCCCUAAAGGCAGGCUUUGUGACUUAAGUCAUCCUUUUACCCCCACUGCUGCUGAGAAUAAUGCCGUGGGGAAUACCUUAAACACGGUAAGAUCACAUCAUUCACCCUGCUCAGAACUUCCUAGCGUCCCAGUGGCUUCCCAUGAUAAAAACUCCACACAGGCCUACAUGGUCUUGUACGACCUGAGUUUCUGCUACCACUCUCCUCUUGCUCCUUGCUGUUCCUGGAAGACAUCGGACAAAGAUCUCACAUUAGGGGUUUUGCAUUUGCUGUUCCUUUUACUGGGAUACCCUUUCCCCAGCUACCCGCAUGGCUUGCUUUCUCAAGCCUUCUGAGCUUCUCCAAGGCCAAUUUCUCAAUGAGGCAUUUCUCUGCCACUCUGUUCGCACAGGGACUUCAAAAAAACCCUUUGUUUUCCUUUCCUCUGCUUAGGGUUUCUCCAUAGCAUGUAUCACUUCCUUACAUAGUAUGUAUUUUAGUCAUGUAUUUUGGGGUUUAUUUUCUGUCUCCCCUCCCCCUACUUAGAAGUAAGCUUCAUCCUAGUCUAAAUCUGUUUGUUUACUUCUCUAUCCCCAGAGCCUAGGAUAAGGCCUGGCAUAUCCAAGGCAGUCUGUAACUAUUUGUUGAAAGAAAAAAAGAAUAAGCAAAUUAAUGGAAGGGGCCUAAUAAAUAUUUGUUAAGUUGAAUGAAAAUGUCAGAAACAGAUGACCGUGAAGUCUUCAAACUGUAAAAGUGUGUGGGUUUAGGAGGAUAGUGAAAUUGAGUGAAAGCUGCCUUAUUAUCAACAUCGUCCAGGAAGGAUUAAAAGCUCGUACUUGUGGUGGGAGGGGCAACUGGGCCAGGAAACUCGGACUUUCGCAGAAACAUUCGGGGCUGCCCAAGUACCCACCCCCCAUCCUCGCCCCUAGGACUGCAUCUGGGAGGCGAGCUGGCCCUACCACCCCGUUUGGACCCUUGUCUACUACGCAGCCGCCCACUUUCCGCAAGGAGGAUGGCGCUCGCUCGGAUCUCCGCGUUCCCUCUUCCCUUGGGGACUCCAUAGUAUUUUUUUCACGCUUCGUCGCUACUACUCAUUAUUUGCCUUACCGAUCUCCGGUGCCUUGCCUGUAACCAAAACGCGUUCAGAUCGCAGCAAGGUCGAUUUAAGCACAGCCUUUCUUAAGGUGGCGUGACUGUGACUCAUUUACUUUUCCAGAGUAACAAAGCCACAAAAUGGUGCUCCCACAUAUUAAUUGAAGAAAGAUUCAGGGUGUGUAGGGGAGAGAUAUUAAUUUUCUACUUUUAUGUAAGAUAUUAAUUCCAUGAAUAAAAUCAAACUCUUGUGGUA
Leopardus geoffroyi (Geoffroy's cat) is the source of this 1790-nucleotide long non-coding RNA. RefSeq lists it as uncharacterized. The transcript is spliced from 2 exons. Lineage: Eukaryota; Metazoa; Chordata; Mammalia; Carnivora; Felidae. The record is from RefSeq and is a predicted model, not a curated record.